RNAcentral lists this transfer RNA (71 nucleotides) under Megalops atlanticus (tarpon). RNAcentral describes it as "tRNA-OTHER". The record is from RNAcentral. Lineage: Eukaryota; Metazoa; Chordata; Actinopteri; Elopiformes; Megalopidae.
GGCAGUGUAGCAUAGUGGUUAAGGAGGAGGACUUGUAAUCGAAAGGUUGCUGGUUCGAUUCCCCGCUGGGA